GUGUUAGUGUGGCCCAGAAUCUAAUCAAUGCCAGGCUUUCCUCUGAGAAGGGCAGGUGCUGUAGCUAGAACAAUCUCUACAAGCCUUUAAGUCUCUGAAUCUGAAACUUCUAGUGCCUCUGCUUUCUUGAACUUGACAAACACCUUGGACAAAUGUGGCAGCAGUUACGCCCUGUGGAUACCAGGAGUCUUGUUCAUCUCAGAGGACCUGCUGAGGCAUUGAAGUACCACACUGAGGAAACCAAGCCCCAAAUAGCCUGGGUCCAGAGGGCUGAGAGCUUCUGGGGCCUGUUUCAGGAAGGGGAUACUGCUGUCCUUCUAGGGGAAAACCUUUCCCCUUUCUCCACAAGCCCCUCAGGCUGCUGGUGCUAACUUCCUCCUCACU
Bos taurus (domestic cattle) is the source of this 384-nucleotide long non-coding RNA. Lineage: Eukaryota; Metazoa; Chordata; Mammalia; Artiodactyla; Bovidae. The record is from Ensembl.